Molecule: ribosomal RNA, 554 nt
Filed under: Pelophylax nigromaculatus (dark-spotted frog)
Lineage: Eukaryota; Metazoa; Chordata; Amphibia; Anura; Ranidae
Description: partial 16S ribosomal RNA
Rfam family: Bacterial large subunit ribosomal RNA
Source: RNAcentral
CGCCUCUUAAUUGUAACAUAAAAAUCCAGCCUGCCAGUACAUAGUUUAACAGCCCGCUGGACCCUCAACCGUGCGAAGGUAGCAUCAAUGGACUUGUUCUUUAAAUAGGGACUCGUAUCAACGGCAUCACGAGGGCUAUACUUCUCCUUUCUCCAAUCAAUGAAACUGAUCUCCCCGUGAAGAAGCGGGGAUUAACCUAUAAGACGAGAAGACCCCAUGGAGCUUCAAACUCAACAUAUACCUCUACGCACUUAAACCACUUUAGCCCAAGAGACCUCUAUGUUAGUUUUGGGUUGGGGGGACCGCGGAGUAAAAAUUAACCUCCACGACAAAUGGGCUUUAUGCCCUUAUCCACGAACCACAGCUCUAAGAAUCAAUAAACUGAUGUUUAUGACCCGAUUAUUCGAUCAACGAACCAAGUUACCCUGGGGAUAACAGCGCAAUCUACUUCAAGAGCCCUAUCGACAAGUAGGUUUACGACCUCGAUGUUGGAUCAGGGUAUCCUAGUGGUGCAGCCGCUACUAAUGGUUCGUUUGUUCAACGAUUAAAACCCU